This 660-nucleotide ribosomal RNA is filed under the name Arthrobacter sp. JSM 081031. RNAcentral describes it as "bacterial SSU rRNA". It matches the Rfam family "Bacterial small subunit ribosomal RNA", at positions 31 to 708 of the family's 1533-position model. Lineage: Bacteria; Bacillati; Actinomycetota; Actinomycetes; Micrococcales; Micrococcaceae. The record is from RNAcentral.
CAACGAAGCCCCUGCUUAACCAUGGCAAGUCGAACGAUGAUCCCAGCUUGCUGGGGGAUUAGUGGCGAACGGGUGAGUAACACGUGAGUAACCUGCCCUUGACUCUGGGAUAAGCCUGGGAAACUGGGUCUAAUACCGGAUAUGACUCCUCAUCGCAUGGUGGGGGGUGGAAAGCUUUUGUGGUUUUGGAUGGACUCGCGGCCUAUCAGCUUGUUGGUGGGGUAAUGGCCUACCAAGGCGACGACGGGUAGCCGGCCUGAGAGGGUGACCGGCCACACUGGGACUGAGACACGGCCCAGACUCCUACGGGAGGCAGCAGUGGGGAAUAUUGCACAAUGGGCGCAAGCCUGAUGCAGCGACGCCGCGUGAGGGAUGACGGCCUUCGGGUUGUAAACCUCUUUCAGUAGGGAAGAAGCGUAAGUGACGGUACCUGCAGAAGAAGCGCCGGCUAACUACGUGCCAGCAGCCGCGGUAAUACGUAGGGCGCAAGCGUUAUCCGGAAUUAUUGGGCGUAAAGAGCUCGUAGGCGGUUUGUCGCGUCUGCUGUGAAAGACCGGGGCUCAACUCCGGUUCUGCAGUGGGUACGGGCAGACUAGAGUGCAGUAGGGGAGACUGGAAUUCCUGGUGUAGCGGUGAAAUGCGCAGAUAUCAGGAGAAACA